This 253-nucleotide ribosomal RNA is filed under the name uncultured bacterium. RNAcentral's name for it is "partial 16S ribosomal RNA". It matches the Rfam family "Bacterial small subunit ribosomal RNA", at positions 524 to 776 of the family's 1533-position model. The record is from RNAcentral.
UACGUAGGGUGCAAGCGUUGUCCGGAAUUACUGGGCGUAAAGAGUGUGUAGGCGGUGCUCCCAGUCUGUUGUGAAAUCUCCCGGCUUAACUGGGAGGGUGCAGCGGAAACUAGAGUGCUAGAGGGUGGGAGAGGUAAGCGGAAUUCCUGGUGUAGCGGUGAAAUGCGUAGAUAUCAGGAGGAACACCUGUGGUGUAGACAGCUUACUGGACCACUUCUGACGCUGAGACACGAAAGCGUGGGUAGCAAACAGG